This 468-nucleotide ribosomal RNA is filed under the name uncultured bacterium. RNAcentral's name for it is "partial 16S ribosomal RNA". It matches the Rfam family "Bacterial small subunit ribosomal RNA", at positions 28 to 507 of the family's 1533-position model. The record is from RNAcentral.
GACGAACGCUGGCGGCGUGCUUAACACAUGCAAGUCGAACGGCAAGGCCCUGCUUGUGUGGGGUGCUGGAGUGGCGAACGGGUGAGUAACACGUGAGUAACCUGCCCUUGACUUUGGGAUAACUUCAGGAAACUGGGGCUACUACCGGAUCGCAGCUCCUGCUGCAUGGUGGGGGUUGGAACGUUUCGGCGGGUGGGGAUGGACUGGCGGCUUAUCAGCUUGUUGGUUGGGUAGUUGAUUACCAAGGCUUUGACGGGUAGGCGGCACUGGAGGGUGGACGGCCACCUGGGGACUGAGAUACGGACCAGACGCGUACGUGGGGCAGCAGUGGGGAAUAUGGCACAAUGGUCGGAAGCCUGAUGAAGAAACCCCGGGGGCGGGAUGACGGCCUGUGGGUUGUAAACAGCUUUAGCCUGUGACGAAGCGUGAGUGACGGUAAUGGAUAAAGAAGCACCGGCUAACUACGUG